GACGAACGCUGGCGGCGUGCUUAACACAUGCAAGUCGAGCGGUAAGGCCCUUUCGGGGGUACACGAGCGGCGAACGGGUGAGUAACACGUGGGUGACCUGCCCUCAGCUCUGGGAUAAGCCUGGGAAACCGGGUCUAAUACUGGAUAUGACUCCAUGACGCAUGUCGUGGGGUGGAAAGCCUUGUGCGGCUGAGGAUGGGCCCGCGGCCUAUCAGCUUGUUGGUGGGGUGAUGGCCUACCAAGGCGACGACGGGUAGCCGGCCUGAGAGGGCGACCGGCCACACUGGGACUGAGACACGGCCCAGACUCCUACGGGAGGCAGCAGUGGGGAAUCUUGCGCAAUGGGCGAAAGCCUGACGCAGCGACGCCGCGUGAGGGAUGAAGGCC
This 387-nucleotide ribosomal RNA is filed under the name uncultured bacterium. Its description in RNAcentral is "bacterial SSU rRNA". It matches the Rfam family "Bacterial small subunit ribosomal RNA", at positions 28 to 416 of the family's 1533-position model. The record is from RNAcentral.